GCCGGGCGUGGUGGCACACACCUGUAAUCCCAGCAACUCAGGAGGCAGAGGCAGGAGGAUCAAGAGUUCAAAGCCAGUCUCAGCAAUUUAGCAAGGCGCUGAGCAACUCCGGGAGACCCUGUCUCUA
Molecule: small RNA, 127 nt
Filed under: Marmota monax (woodchuck)
Lineage: Eukaryota; Metazoa; Chordata; Mammalia; Rodentia; Sciuridae
Source: RNAcentral